ACGGCUCAGUAACACGUGGAUAACGUGCCCUUAAGUGGGGGAUAAUCUCGGGAAACUGAGGAUAAUACCCCAUAGACCAUGGGAUCUGGAAUGACCUGUGGUUCAAAGUUCCGGCGCUUAAGGAUCGGUCUGUGGCCUAUCAGGCAGUAGUGGGUGUAAUGUACCCCCUAGCCGAUUACGGGUAUGGGCCUUGAGAGAGGGAGCCCAGAGUUGGAUUCUGAGACACGAAUCCAGGCCCUACGGGGCGCAGCAGUCGCGAAAACUUCACAAUGGGCGCAAGCCCGAUGAGGGAAUUCCUAGUGCUAGCUCUUUUUGAGUUAGCUUUUCUUCAGCGUAGAUAACUGGAGGAAUAAGGGCUGGGUAAGACGGGUGCCAGCCGCCGCGGUAAUACCCGCAGCCCGAGUGGUGGUCGAUUUUAUUGAGUCUAAAACGUUCGUAGCCGGUCUGAUAAAUCCUUGGGUAAAUCGGGAAGCUCAGCUUUCCGAAUUCCGAGGAGACUGUUAGACUUGGGAUCGGGAGAGGUAAGAGGUACUUCAGGGGUAGGGGUAAAAUCCUGUAAUCCUUGGAGGACCACCGGUGGCGAAGGCGUCUUACUAGAACGAAUCCGACGGUGAGGGACGAAGCCCUAGGUCGCAAACGGGAUUAGAUACCCCGGUAGUCUAGGGUGUAAACGCUGCAGACUUGGUGUUGGAGGCCCUUCGGGGGCAUUCAGUGCCGGAGAGAAGUUGUUAAGUCUGCUACUUGGGGAGUACGUCCGCAAGGAUGAAACUUAAAGGAAUUGGCGGGGGAGCAC
Molecule: ribosomal RNA, 793 nt
Filed under: uncultured archaeon
Lineage: Archaea
Description: bacterial SSU rRNA
Rfam family: Archaeal small subunit ribosomal RNA
Source: RNAcentral